GAUGAAGAACGUAGUGAAAUGCGAUAAGUAAUGUGAAUUGCAGAAUUCAGUGAAUCAUCGAAUCUUUGAACGCACAUUGCGCCCGCCAGUAUUCUGGCGGGCAUGCCUGUUCGAGCGUCAUUUCAACCCUCAGGCCCCCAGUGCCUGGUGUUGGGGAUCGGCCCAGCCUUCCUGUAAGGCCGCCGGCCCCGAAAUCUAGUGGCGGUCUCGCUGUAGUCCUCCUCUGCGUAGUAGCACAACCUCGCAGUUGGAACGCGGCGGUGGCCAUGCCGUUAAACACCCCACUUCUGAAAGUUGACCUCGGAUCAGGUAGGAAUACCCGCUGAACUUAAGCAUAUCAUAAGCGGAGGA
This 351-nucleotide unclassified non-coding RNA is filed under the name soil metagenome. Its description in RNAcentral is "partial contains 5.8S ribosomal RNA, internal transcribed spacer 2, and large subunit ribosomal RNA". The stretch from base 1 to 120 matches the Rfam family "5.8S ribosomal RNA", at positions 35 to 154 of the family's 154-position model. The record is from RNAcentral.